Molecule: long non-coding RNA, 201 nt
Filed under: Vigna radiata
Lineage: Eukaryota; Viridiplantae; Streptophyta; Magnoliopsida; Fabales; Fabaceae
Description: long non-coding RNA (VRAD_LNC017354)
Source: RNAcentral
GGGUGUCUCAAAGGGAUUCUGCAAAAAGAGGAUUGUUCUUUUUGUGUUGUUUUGUUUUUCUAUAUUAGAUUUGGAGUUGGAGAAGAGAUUGCAUUGAGAGAAGGUCUUUGUAAUCACUAUUGCAAAAGCGCUGUUUAACGUUGGUUAAUUUGGGCUUUUAACGUCACUUUCCCAACCGACGUCUAUAUGGGUGACGUCUAU